Molecule: ribosomal RNA, 442 nt
Filed under: uncultured bacterium
Lineage: Bacteria
Description: partial 16S ribosomal RNA
Rfam family: Bacterial small subunit ribosomal RNA
Source: RNAcentral
CCUACGGGCGGCUGCAGUGGUGAAUAUUGGGCAAUGGGCGCAAGCCUGACCCAGCAACGCCGCGUGAAGGAAGAAGGCUUUCGGGUUGUAAACUUCUGUUGUCAGGGACGAAGCAAGGGACGGGACCUGACGAAUAAGCCACGGCUAACUACGUGCCAGCAGCCGCGGUAAUACGUAGGUGGCAAGCGUUAUCCGGAUUUACUGGGUGUAAAGGGUGCGUAGGCGGGCUUUUAAGUCAGCGGUAAAAAUUCGGGGCUCAACACCGUCCGGCCGUUGAAACUGGGGGCCUUGAGUGGGCGAGAAGAAGGCGGAAUGCGUGGUGUAGCGGUGAAAUGCAUAGAUAUCACGCAGAACCCCGAUUGCGAAGGCAGCCUUCCGGCGCCCUACUGACGCUGAGGCACGAAAGUGCGGGGAUCGAACAGGAUUAGAUACCCGAGUAGUC